GACGAACGCUGGCGGCGUGCUUAACACAUGCCAGUCGAACGGAAAGGCCCUGCUUUUGUGGGGUGCUCGAGUGGCGAACGGGUGAGUAACACGUGAGUAACCUGCCCUUGACUUUGGGAUAACUUCAGGAAACUGGGGCUAAUACCGGAUAGGAGCUCCUGCUGCAUGGUGGGGGUUGGAAAGUUUCGGCGGUUGGGGAUGGACUCGCGGCUUAUCAGCUUGUUGGUGGGGUAGUGGCUUACCAAGGCUUUGACGGGUAGCCGGCCUGAGAGGGUGACCGGCAACAUGGGGACUGAGAUACGGCCCAGAAUCCUACGGGAGGCAGCAGUGGGGAAUAUUGCACAAUGGGGGGAAGCCUGAUGCAGCAACGCCGCGUGCGGGAUGACGGCCUUCGGGUUGUAAACCGCUUUCGCCUGUGACGAAGCGUGAGUGACGGUAAUGGGUAAAGAAGCACCGGCUAACUACGUG
This 468-nucleotide ribosomal RNA is filed under the name uncultured bacterium. Its description in RNAcentral is "partial 16S ribosomal RNA". It matches the Rfam family "Bacterial small subunit ribosomal RNA", at positions 28 to 507 of the family's 1533-position model. The record is from RNAcentral.